Non-coding RNA from Picea glauca (white spruce), 121 nucleotides. NCBI's taxonomy places the organism in Eukaryota, Viridiplantae, Streptophyta, Pinopsida, Pinales, Pinaceae. The record is from Rfam.
ACAUGCCUACAACAUAGCAUUAAUGUACUGUAUCCCAUUAGAAUUCCACAGUUAAGCAUGCUCGGUCUAAAGUAAUAUUCAGAUGGGUGACUGCCCAGGAAGUCCUAGUAUUUUACAUGCC